RNAcentral lists this ribosomal RNA (416 nucleotides) under uncultured bacterium. RNAcentral describes it as "bacterial SSU rRNA". It matches the Rfam family "Bacterial small subunit ribosomal RNA", at positions 362 to 775 of the family's 1533-position model. The record is from RNAcentral.
UAUUGGUCAAUGGGCGCGAGCCUGAACCAGCCAAGUAGCGUGAAGGCUGACGGCCCUAUGGGUUGUGAACUUCUUUUAUAUGGGAAUAAAGUUUGGUAUUCAUACCAUUUUGUAUUUACCAUAUGAAGAAGGAGCGGCUAACUGCGUGCCAGCAGCCGCGGUAAUACGGAGGAUCCGAGCGUUAUCCGGAUUUAUUGGGUUUAAAGGGAGCGUAGGUGGACAGUUAAGUCAGUUGUGAAAGUUUGCGGCUCAACCGUAAAAUUGCAGUUGAUACUGGCUGUCUUGAGUACAGUAGAGGUGGGCGGAAUUCGUGGUGUAGCGGUGAAAUGCUUAGAUAUCACGAAGAACUCCGAUUGCGAAGGCAGCUCACUGGACUGCAACUGACACUGAUGCUCGAAAGUGUGGGUAUCAAGCAG